This is a long non-coding RNA of Anthonomus grandis grandis, 876 nucleotides long. RefSeq lists it as uncharacterized. The record is from RefSeq and is a predicted model, not a curated record. The transcript has 2 exons. NCBI's taxonomy places the organism in Eukaryota, Metazoa, Arthropoda, Insecta, Coleoptera, Curculionidae.
UUAUAAAAGAGCCGAUUCGAUUACUCUGUAGAAGCUACGUAGUUAUGUGGUGCAGCCCAAAUUAAAUACUAAUUGAAUCCUAAUGACAAUAAUAGGGGAGCGGGGGGAAUAGGAGCCAGCGGGUAAUGGGAGCCACCUCGUUAUUUACGCCAUGAUGUGCGUAAUGUAAUUUUGGAACGCAGCUAACAUUUACCCUUGAUGCUUUCAAACUACUUUGAACGGUUACAUCUAAAUCAGUUCACUUUCGGCAGUCUUCCGACACGUUUGUCGGUAUUCGCAAAUUAUACUCUAAAGACACGCAAUACGAAAAUUGAAGAUGAGACAGGUCUGCUCUACAAAAUGCUUCCAGACACGACACUGAAAUUUAAAGGCGAAAAGUGCAAAGAAGGGAAAAUGUGCAAAGUAAGAAUUACUCUUUUUGUUGCUGCCAAUAUGUCUGGGUGAGAAAAACGUAAGUUGAUUGUUAUUGGAAAAUCAAAAAACACUCGUUGUUUUAAAAAUGUUAAGACAUUACCUGUUUCCUACAUGUCUAACAAAAAAGCCUGGAUGACUUUGGACUUGUUUAUUAAGAUGGACAAAGAAGAAUUUAAUCCACCAUCUAUUGAAGAAGCUUUACGAGCAGUGAAGACCCUAAACAGUUUUGUACCAUACAAUAAUGCGAGUGACGAAGAACUUUUAGACACAAAUUAUUGAGAAAAAAAUUGAAUCAAUUUACUUUAACUGGCGUUGCAAAAAACAAACAAAGAUAACAGAUUUUUUACUAAAUUAACUAUAUAAUUUUUUUUAUAUGUACAUACAUACAAAUGUAUUUUAUGUACUAUGUAGGUUUACCUUUCGUUACCUACUGUAACAGUGUAAAUUUAGUUUUUUUUUAAA